This 432-nucleotide ribosomal RNA is filed under the name uncultured bacterium. Its description in RNAcentral is "partial 16S ribosomal RNA". It matches the Rfam family "Bacterial small subunit ribosomal RNA", at positions 29 to 506 of the family's 1533-position model. The record is from RNAcentral.
AGCGAACGCUGGCGGCAGGCCUAACACAUGCAAGUCGAACGAACUCUUCGGAUUUAGUGGCGGACGGGUGAGUAACACGUGGGAACGUGCCUUUUGGUUCGGAAUAACUCAGGGAAACUUGUGCUAAUACCGAAUGUGCCCUUCGGGGGAAAGAUUUAUCGCCAUUAGAGCGGCCCGCGUCUGAUUAGCUAGUUGGUGAGGUAACGGCUCACCAAGGCGACGAUCAGUAGCUGGUCUGAGAGGAUGACCCGCCACACUGGGACUGAGACACGGCCCAGACUCCUACGGGAGGCAGCAGUGGGGAAUCUGGCGCAAGGGGCGAAAGCCUGACGCAGCCAUGCCGCGUGAAUGAUGAAGGUCUUAGGAUUGUAAAAUUCUUUCACCGGGGACGAUAAUGACGGAACCCGGAGAAGAAGCCCCGGCUAACUUCGU